GAUGAAGAACGUAGCGAAAUGCGAUAAGUAAUGUGAAUUGCAGAAUUCAGUGAAUCAUCGAAUCUUUGAACGCACAUUGCGCCCGCUGGUAUUCCGGCGGGCAUGCCUGUUCGAGCGUCAUUUCAACCCUCAAGCCCCCGGGUUUGGUGUUGGGGAUCGGCUCUGCCCUUCUGGGCGGUGCCGCCCCCGAAAUACAUUGGCGGUCUCGCUGCAGCCUCCAUUGCGUAGUAGCUAACACCUCGCAACUGGAACGCGGCGCGGCCAUGCCGUAAAACCCCAACUUCCGAAUGUUGACCUCGGAUCAGGUAGGAAUACCCGCUGAACUUAAGCAUAUCAAUAAGCGGAGGA
RNAcentral lists this unclassified non-coding RNA (348 nucleotides) under soil metagenome. Its description in RNAcentral is "partial contains 5.8S ribosomal RNA, internal transcribed spacer 2, and large subunit ribosomal RNA". The stretch from base 1 to 120 matches the Rfam family "5.8S ribosomal RNA", at positions 35 to 154 of the family's 154-position model. The record is from RNAcentral.